Long non-coding RNA from Triticum aestivum (bread wheat), 3374 nucleotides. RefSeq lists it as uncharacterized. The transcript is spliced from 4 exons. The record is from RefSeq and is a predicted model, not a curated record. Lineage: Eukaryota; Viridiplantae; Streptophyta; Magnoliopsida; Poales; Poaceae.
AACAAAAAUCCCGAAGGAAAAAAAACCACCCUCAAAGCUCGGACGCACGUCGCACGUCCCACCAAAUCCCACCCCCGCGCCCCCAAAUCCCAACCAUCUUCAUGUGGAUCCAGCUUCUCUUCCCAAGGAAAUCGCAGCAGUCGGCCUCCUCCCUCGCUCGACUCGGCAAAUCUGACGAGACCGAUGGCUCCUUUUUGCCUCUCACCCACGACCCUCUCACUUUCUCACCGCCGACCAGCAUGACGUCCUUACAACAUCUCAGCGGUGGCUGCGUUGAGGGCGCGUACGGAUGAGUAGACCAAGUACAAGGACGAGGGGAGGGCCAACAACCCGGACUUCAGAACGUUAUGUCAAAGGUGCGUCGACCUUGUUCCUCUCCUUCGUUUUUGUGAAUUUCCUGCCUGUGAGAAAUUUUGAUAAGGGGUGUCUUUCUUAUCUUCUUUAGCAACACACCGUAGGAUUCUCUUAAAUGCUUACCGGGAUCAUCCUUGCCUUAUCUUUGAGACAGCCAUGAUUGAUUGGGCGUUUUGACUUCAGAAUUGUGUCGUGGGAUUAAUUUUGUGCAAAACUGCAGAUUGCAAUCUCAGUGGACGAUUGAUUUUUAGAUCAAGUGGAGAAUAAAUGAUUCUUUAGCAUUUGUUUGUUCACAAACAUAUUGCCAUGGGUCUGAUGGCAGAUUGACUAAACCAUUGUAAUCAGACACAAUGAGAGUUCCUGGAUCAAUAAUUGUUUCCUGGAAAUUGAGAAAAAAAUCCUUAAUAGUUAUGAACCUGGAAGGCUUACUCCUCUUUUCAAUAAUUUUAAUUUAUCAAAAACAUGUUCGUGUUACCUGAAAUGCUAACAAGCUAUGAAGUGUUACCUACAUGUAAUAAGUAGAUCAUUUGUCCCUCUGUCAAACAGGUGAUCCUUGGUCAAGGUAUAUAAACCACUAGCAGAUAUAAAAUUCUGAAACCAAUAUUUAACCUCGUCGGUGCCUUUGGCAGAUGGCAAUGCCUGCACGUAUCAAACUUUACUUGCCGUGAGAUGGAUUGAAUCUUAUAGGAGCGUAACUAGCCAAAGCUAGCUCGAAUCGGUGAAUUGAUUGAUUGGUUAGCAACACACACACAUAUUAAAGCUGAUUGGUAACAUGCCUGUUAUUCAUGUUUCUUCAACUCACGGUGGUUAUGAACUAUGUUUAUAUUUCUUCAACUCAUGGCGAUUACAAGCUAGGAGCUAUAUGCAUUUAUGUAAGCUUAUAUAGAAGAUGACUAAGUAGAGUUAUGAUUUCUAUACUACUCGGACAAGAGAUCCCUGCUUACCUCUGACAAUUAGUGAGAUCUUGAGGUAACAAAAAGAGAGGACUAGCUAGCCCAUUACUAUUGUAUCCAGAUUCAUUCUGCUAACUGAUGAAGUUCUGAGCUACCAUCUACCAUAGUGAUUUAUUGAUAUAGUCCAUGUUCUCCUUUCCAUUAAUAGUGAAUGGAAUGGAUACGGAAAUAUCCUAAUUCUUGUUGGUCAGCUCGAGUAGUAAUUUUUUCGAUUGUUCCCAUUAUUAUUUCAUAUAUGCUAGCUUGCUAUCUUGUAUAGCUUAUUUCAUAUAGGGGGUCAACCUUAAAAAAGGUAUAAUGUUACAGAACCAUGUUAAUUGAGUUGGCACGAUAUUUUGUCUGUUUCAAAAUGCUCACUCAGAUCUUGGUUUUCUACUACAGAAUUUGACUAUUGUGCGUGCUUUCGUUCAUGAAGGUUCGACCUUCAAGUCUUAACAAUUACCCUUUCAAACAGGCAACACUCGGGACGUGCUCAAUCCUGUUUUUUGGGUCAAUUAAUUCAUAUAAUCUUGAUCAUUCGUGCAAAGCAAUUGUUACUGUAUGGUGAUGUUGUACAAACCUUUGGUAAUUGCAUGUUUUAUAAUUGAAUUUAACUGUUGAAGUUUAUGCCAAAGUAGGUUCCACUUGUUGUGAUGCUUUAUUGGUAACUGACAAGGGUUAAUAACUUAUUCCAGUUAAUUCUAUACAUUUCAAACAUUUGCAACUGGAGUAUUCUCUUGCUUAGUGUUUUUUACAUUGUGGUGUUACCUUUUUACGAAGAUGAGAGCGAGAUAGAUGUUGAUACUGCUGCUCCAACAUCUCAAGUUUCAAUCAAGCAUGGUCUGCUGAUAUGGAGAGCACAAGACCUGAACUUCAGUUCCUGGAACAAGUGAGAAAAUCUUAUUGCCUUAUAACUAUUUCCAUCUCAUUUUCCAAUAAAGAUGAUUAGGUAUUGAAGUCUAAAUUGUGUCUUAAAGUUGCUUUGGUUACUCUGGAUGUAUUGAAUUUCUUCAGUUACAUUAAGAUUCAAAUUAUAGAUUUUGCAAGUUAUUAGGGGGUAUCCCAAUGGACAGGACGCCCGCGAGUGGCAGUCAUCUUGAUCUGGUGCGGUACCAUCACGAACAUCGAGACGGGGAGGCAGGCUGGAGGCCAGGGCGGCAUCGGGCAAAAGCAUGGGCCAGCGUCUGAUAAGCAAGCAAUGGUUCUUGAGCGCCACUGAAGCAAGCAAUGGUGCUUGAGGUUGCGGGGCCGAGCAGAUAUACAUGAGUGUGAUGUUGACCAUUUCUGGAGGCAAUUCGCUGACUAAGAAGAUGUUGCUGGGAAGAGUGGGGCAGUCAACAUGAAGCGUGUUUAUCUGAGCUGGACCAGACAGAGUGGCUUCGUCACGACAUCAAUGCAAAGUGCACGUAUAACUGAUUGACACAUUGGAUGAAUAGGGAAGGGAAUUGACGUAAUACUGCUCUUGCAUGCAAGAACACCUGCAGGGGAUACAUAAUCACUUCAGGCACGCAAGGUCACAUCAGAGAUUGGCAUGCUGUCCUCGGACUAUUACAUUCCACCAUUCAGCAGCAUAGCCACAGCGGGUGGAUAUGACAUGGUUGUUGUGGCAACAAGAAUGUACUACGACAAGGGUCGGGCAAGCUUGCAGUGUCGAGCAUGAGAAGGGAGCCCGAGAACGGCUACAGUUCCUGUUCCAGGCAGAGAUUCAGGGUCCAGGGGCACAUGGUAAAAUUUAUCCCUUUUUCUGAUUUUUUUAUAGUAGAUACUGUAGGAAACAACGGCUGUCUUGUACAUAUGGCAACACUUCAUUUUCUCUGUUCUGCUGUCUGAAGCUGCUGAUGCUCCUGCUUAUGUUAAUACUAGAUAGUUUUGUCAGAGUGGACGUAGUAGUACCUAUGUUUGAGAUGAAGUUGUAGGUUGUAGAGUUUCCUUGUCUGGAUUCUAUGAUGUAAUUUAAUUAUUUUAUUUUAUUUUUCAGUUGUAGCCAACCACAUGUAAUCUUGUGAUUCCCUUCUUAUAAUGUUGAAAUAGACAUAUUUUUUUGUCAGAUAAAUAAUUUGCGUAUCAGUAACUGAUUUUAUUGAGUAA